Drosophila elegans is the source of this 1863-nucleotide long non-coding RNA. RefSeq lists it as uncharacterized. Lineage: Eukaryota; Metazoa; Arthropoda; Insecta; Diptera; Drosophilidae. The transcript has 2 exons. The record is from RefSeq and is a predicted model, not a curated record.
GCAUAGAAGGAGAUUUUGUAAAAAUAACUCAGCAAUGUGUGCCGGGCUCUUAUUGCGUUUUCCAUGGUAAAUAAACAAUUCAACAGCUAUGCACGGUAUACAUUCAUAUUUGCAACGGUCCAGAUUUGCUUGCUUGCGGAAGUUCUUGUCGACCAGGCAAACCCAGAAUCAACUAGAGAAGGGAGCUGAUUCGAAAAGAACAGUGGUCGCCAAAGGCUCAAUCAGUCUGUGCCUAGUCUAUAGAUUCUCUCCCUCUCUUUAUAAAGGUAAUUCAAUGGAAAUGUACUUAAGAUCUGUGUGAGAGGCAAGAUCAUUUUUGGUGGUCAUUCAUCAGAACUUUAUCGAAUGGUAUGCAACUGAAAUAAGUGCGGCACUCACUUCUUUGUCAUGUUUUGCAGUACAUAAUUCUGCUGUCGAACAUAAUGCGGCGCAGUAGGAUAAUUGGUCAUCAUGAGACACAAGCCUUGAGAUUGUCAAAAAAUGUUGCUCUGACAACAUUAUCACCCAAAGCCAUGUGUUUCCAUCGGGAAAAGUUUCGUUUACUAAAACCCGGUUUACCAUUGUUGAAAAGCUAUUGCUUUUAUCUGCCGCCGGGCUCUGUGUAUGUACACUGAUGACGUGCCACACCCUGUCUUUGUGAAGUGCGUGCGCCGGCAAAACGUUCCAGUACGGAUGUUAAGCUUGCCCACCCCAUGUCAUGCCAUCUUGGCGUAGGCCUUACCCCUUUCUACUGACUGGGCAACAUUCGACGCUCUCGCUCUCGUGACGCCGAUUGUACGGUUGCAGCUUUUGCCCGCCAAUUUUUAAUUUCAUUAGCUUUUUACUUCCUUCAGGUCCUCCUGCAAUUACUUAUUUUUUGCAAUUAUAAAUUUUGGUCCGCCGUUCAGAGCUACCCACGCGAUUCAAAGGAACGAAAUAAAAACGUAGGAAAGUAUUAGUCGGAAAUUCCAAAUGUCUAAACGAUACCACCGGCCCGUGCGUUGACUGGGCCUCCUGUUAAAUUUUUGCGGAAGUCUUAGAAAGUGUUUUCUUUUGAAUGGAUGGUCAACGAUUCAGAUGCAAUUACAUUUGCAUGGCAAAUAUAAACGCUUGGCCGAAGCAGAAAGAGCUGAAAAACUGUGCUAUUGAUAACACUUGAUGAAAACGAGCAGUGAUGAAUAAGCAAAAAGCUGGUGCGCAAACAUACGGGCUUGGUCAACAAAUUUAACGAGGUACUCGCACACACGAUCUGAUUAUCCACAGGAGCAGAGGGCUUGUAGGAGUCGUCGACCUUUUGGAAUUGAGAAUAGUUUCGUGAACACUGUCCAGACUGCAUUUCUAGUUUGGGCAAACAACUAAGCUCCCAGCGAGUGGCCUUCAACCGCUUUUUUUCGCAGCGUAUUUACGUAAAUCCCAAAGCGUGGUGUGCGGACAUGUCAAUGGGCAUAAUAAACGGGCAAGGCUCAUCAACACCCAAAUCGUAGCCAAGCCCCGCGCAGGCGGAGGGAAAGCGAAAGCUUGGAAAAUUAAUGCAAAUGCGUAAAUAAUUGACACAACGACAACUAAUGUGGCUUGGUAUGUCUGGAAUGUGCUUUGCACACCAGUCGAGUGCACAAGCCUUGUUUGUAUCUCAUCGCCGGAGACAUUUAAAAUCACAGGCACAGCCAGGCAGGCCGUCAUCGAUGUGCAUCGCCAGGGAGCGACGAUAUCCGACCCGCAUGCGAAAUGAGAUGGCGCGACUGUUGGCAGAGCACUAGCAAAUCCAUAAGCUAAGAAGUUCCCCUUUGAUGUAGGUUCCUAAACGGCAAUAUGAACCGCGGAACAAUUCAAAAAUUUCAUUAUUUGUACCAGAUGAGGUGUUUUAAUAAAGGCAUAUAAAAUUUA